Molecule: ribosomal RNA, 497 nt
Filed under: uncultured bacterium
Lineage: Bacteria
Description: partial 16S ribosomal RNA
Rfam family: Bacterial small subunit ribosomal RNA
Source: RNAcentral
GAUGAACGCUGGCGGCGUGCCUAAUACAUGCAAGUCGAGCGAACAGACGAGGAGCUUGCUCCUCUGACGUUAGCGGCGGACGGGUGAGUAACACGUGGAUAACCUACCUAUAAGACUGGGAUAACUUCGGGAAACCGGAGCUAAUACCGGAUAAUAUAUUGAACCGCAUGGUUCAAUAGUGAAAGACGGUUUUGCUGUCACUUAUAGAUGGAUCCGCGCCUCAUUAGCUAGUUCGUAAGGUAACCGCUUACCAAGGCAACGAUGCCUAGCCGACCUGAGAUGGUGAUCGGCCACCCUGGAACUGACACACGGUCCAGACUCCUACGGGAGGCAGCAGUCGGGAAUCUUCCGCAGUGGGCGAAAGCCUGACGGAGCAACGCCGCGUGAGUCAUGAAGGUCUUCGGAUCGUAAAACUCUGUUAUUAGGGAAGAACAAAUGUGUAAGUAACUAUGCACGUCUUGACGGUACCUAAUCAGAAAGCCACGGCUAACUACGUG